GCGCGCAAUUACCCAAUCCCGACACGGGGAGGUAGUGACAAUAAAUACUGAUACAGGGCCCUUUCGGGUCUUGUAAUUGGAAUGAGUACAAUUUAAAUCCAUUAACGAGGAACAAUUGGAGGGCAAGUCUGGUGCCAGCAGCCGCGGUAAUUCCAGCUCCAAUAGCGUAUAUUAAAGUUGUUGCAGUUAAAAAGCUCGUAGUUGAACCUUGGGUCUGGAUAACUGGUCCGCCUCACCGCGUGCACUGGGAAUCCGGACCUUUCCUUCUGGCAAACCUCAUGCCCUUUGUUGGGUGUGCUGGGGAACCAGGACUUUUACUUUGAAAAAAUUAGAGUGUUCAAAGCAGGCAUUUGCUCGAAUACAUUAGCAUGGAAUAAUAGAAUAGGACGUGCGGUUCUAUUUUGUUGGUUUCUAGGACCGCCGUAAUGAUUAAUAGGGAUAGUCGGGGGCAUCCGUAUUCAAUUGUCAGAGGUGAAAUUCUUGGAUUUAUUGAAGACGAACUACUGCGAAAGCAUUUGCCAAGGAUGUUUUCAUUAAUCAGGAACGAAAGUUGAGGGAUCGAAGACGAUCAGAUACCGUCGUAGUCUCAACCAUAAACUAUGCCGACUAGGGAUCGGGCGAUGUUUUAUUCUGACUCGCUCGGCACCUUACGAGAAAUCAAAGUCUUUG
This 669-nucleotide ribosomal RNA is filed under the name uncultured eukaryote. Its description in RNAcentral is "SSU rRNA". It matches the Rfam family "Eukaryotic small subunit ribosomal RNA", at positions 432 to 1109 of the family's 1831-position model. The record is from RNAcentral.